GUUAACCUGCUGUGUGCGUGAUCGAGCGCCAACCGUUUUGAGCCAACACCCAAACUAGGGAAGCUGCCGUCUGGCUGCAAGGUGAUAGGCUCCGGCCAAGACCCCAAAGUCAGGUGAGCUUCCACCCUGCGAAAGCAGGUUCAAAACCCCGCUCACACGGCAUGGCAGGCUUCUU
This 175-nucleotide non-coding RNA is filed under the name Chloroflexota bacterium. RNAcentral's name for it is "6S RNA". It matches the Rfam family "6S / SsrS RNA". From Rfam's summary of the family: E. coli 6S RNA was the first non coding RNA to be sequenced, but its function was unknown until recently. It consists of 184 nucleotides that fold into an extended hairpin structure with a large single-stranded internal bulge. The record is from RNAcentral. Lineage: Bacteria; Bacillati; Chloroflexota.